CUUUUCCUUCAAAUGUGUCCUAGCAAUCGUAAUGCUCAUUCUUUCCAAUAAUGUGUGUGUGUGUGUGUGUGUACGUGUGUGUGCAUGUGUAAUGCCACUAAUCUCAUCAUGGGGGCCUUACUCUCAUGACCUCAUCUAAACCAAUUUAGCUCCCAAAAGCCCUGUCUCCAAAUACCAUCUCACUGGGAGUUAAAGCCUCAGUGUAUAAAUUGGGGGAGAACACAAACAUUCGGUUCACAACAGUCUCCAAACCCCCAAGGCCUAUCCCUCUAAGAAGAUGCACUUCUCAUCCUGCUUGGGGUCUGACUCUGCUCUGAAUCAUUUUCCAUAUGGACACCUCCAUUCCCCACUGGGUGAACUGGAUGCCUACGCUGGGCCACCCCUUUGUGUGGAUGCCCUCCUCUCCCUGACCAGUCUCUGCCUACUUGCUCUGGGCAGCCCCCCUACAGGCACAUGCACCUCACCACAUUUGGGGUCUGAGAGCCCAUCCCCUACCACUGUAGCAUCCCUUCCCCUCUUCCACCCGCAUGAAGCCUACCUGGCUGUGCUCCACCUAAUGACUUUAGAAUUGAAUUGUUUGGGAAGGGAAAGGAAGAGGAAGAGAAGCCACUAUGUUUUUAGAAUCAUCUUGUCAACUUCCAUGAAAAAUCCUCCUGAGAGUUCUAUUGAAGUUGCUUCAAAUCUAUAGAUUGAUUGGUAUCUGUCUUUACUUCCUGGCCGUUUGAAUGAUCUUUGAG
Molecule: long non-coding RNA, 737 nt
Filed under: Homo sapiens (human)
Lineage: Eukaryota; Metazoa; Chordata; Mammalia; Primates; Hominidae
Description: HSALNT0347406
Source: RNAcentral